AAGUCGUAACAAGGUUUCCGUAGGUGAACCUGCGGAAGGAUCAUUGAUGGAAUUAAGGUUUUUUUAAUGGGUCAGUCCUGAUUUUUUGGGAUCUGGCCUACAAACAAAACAUAGAAACCCAAGAAGAGCGAGUGGGGAUUUUGCUGGACCAUUUUUUUUGUUUAUUGGGAUUUUCUCAAUCAGAGAUCAGCUCAAAUAAAAAAAAAGAAGGGGAAAGCAGAGAACCACAGCAAAAAAAAAAUUUAGUGGAUGCCUGAUAAGAGUUUGGAAUGGAAGAAUAAAAAAAACAACUUUCAACAACGGAUCUCUUGGCUCUCA
This 318-nucleotide unclassified non-coding RNA is filed under the name fungal sp. RNAcentral describes it as "partial internal transcribed spacer region". The stretch from base 1 to 46 matches the Rfam family "Eukaryotic small subunit ribosomal RNA", at positions 1786 to 1831 of the family's 1831-position model. The record is from RNAcentral. Lineage: Eukaryota; Fungi.